AUACGAAGGGGGCUAGCGAUGUUCGGAAUUACUGGGCGUAAAGCGCGCGUAGGCGGACUGAUCAGUUGGGGGUGAAAUCCCAGGGCUUAACCCUGGAACUGCCUCCAAUACUGUCAGUCUUGAGUUCGGGAGAGGUGAGUGGAAUUCCUAGUGUAGAGGUGAAAUUCGUAGAUAUUAGGAAGAACACCAGUGGCGAAGGCGGCUCACUGGCCCGAUACUGACGCUGAGGCGCGAAAGCGUGGGGAGCAAACAGGAUUAGAAACCCUUGUAGUCC
Molecule: ribosomal RNA, 274 nt
Filed under: uncultured bacterium
Lineage: Bacteria
Description: partial 16S ribosomal RNA
Rfam family: Bacterial small subunit ribosomal RNA
Source: RNAcentral